GAUGAACGCUGGCGGCGUGCCUAAUACAUGCAAGUCGAGCGAACAGACGAGGAGCUUGCUCCUCUGACGUUAGCGGCGGACGGGUGAGUAACACGUGGAUAACCUACCUAUAAGACUGGGAUAACUUCGGGAAACCGGAGCUAAUACCGGAUAAUAUAUUGAACCGCAUGGUUCAAUAGUGAAAGACGGUUUUGCUGUCACUUAUAGAUGGAUCCGCGCCGCAUUAGCUAGUUGGUAAGGUAACGGCUUACCAAGGCAACGAUGCGUAGCCGACCUGAGAGGGUGAUCGGCCACACUGGAACUGAGACACGGUCCAGACUCCUACGGGAGGCAGCAGUAGGGAAUCUUCCGCAAUGGGCGAAAGCCUGACGGAGCAACGCCGCGUGAGUGAUGAAGGUCUUCGGAUCGUAAAACUCUGUUAUUAGGGAAGAACAAAUGUGUAAGUAACUAUGCACGUCUUGACGGUACCUAAUCAGAAAGCAACGGCUAACUACGUG
Molecule: ribosomal RNA, 497 nt
Filed under: uncultured bacterium
Lineage: Bacteria
Description: partial 16S ribosomal RNA
Rfam family: Bacterial small subunit ribosomal RNA
Source: RNAcentral